This is a non-coding RNA of Phrynosoma platyrhinos (Desert horned lizard), 72 nucleotides long. The record is from the annotation of a GenBank genome assembly. Lineage: Eukaryota; Metazoa; Chordata; Lepidosauria; Squamata; Phrynosomatidae.
GGCAGCAAGGCAUAGUGGUUUGAGUGUCAGACUACAACUCUGGGGACCAAGGUUCAAUUCCCAGAUCAGCCA